This 253-nucleotide ribosomal RNA is filed under the name uncultured bacterium. RNAcentral describes it as "partial 16S ribosomal RNA". It matches the Rfam family "Bacterial small subunit ribosomal RNA", at positions 524 to 776 of the family's 1533-position model. The record is from RNAcentral.
UACGUAGGGGGCUAGCGUUGUCCGGAUUUAUUGGGCGUAAAGAGCGUGUAGGCGGCCAGGUAGGUCUGCUGUGAAAACUCGAGGCUUAACCUCGAGAUGUCGGUGGAAACCAUCUGGCUAGAGUCCGGAAGAGGAGAGUGGAAUUCCUGGUGUAGCGGUGAAAUGCGCAGAUAUCAGGAAGAACACCCGUGGCGAAGGCGGCUCUCUGGGACGGUACUGACGCUGAGACGCGAAAGCGUGGGGAGCGAACAGG